AUUACAGAUAUUGAGCCAUACUGUUCCAAUAUUGUUCAUGAUGAAGAACCAUAGAUUCACGAGUUUUGUGUAAACAGGACUUUUGUAUCUCAUACAUGGAAAUGAUUAAUAGCUACUGAAUCAAAUGAAGAAUCUUAAGACUUAAAAGCAUAGAGUGGAAAUGGAAAUAUGAAAAUGUAUUAAGCCAAUGCAUGACAUAAGGAGAUUCAAUUAUGAAUUUUGAAAUUGGAGAGGUCAUACAUCAGAGAAGACUUAAAGCAAAGUUUACAGUAUGAUGAGAGAAGUUCAGAACAAGUUAUUUUGUUUGAAGAGGAAUCACAGCAGUCAAGACUUCAUUUUGAAUAAAGUAAAUUGUAUUAGAAGUGAAGCAUUAACAGUUAUGAGAUAUGUUAUUUCAAAGACUAUGUGGAUGUAAUCUGACUAGCAUUUGUAUGACCUAAAUAUGGCAUUUCCAUAUGAAGACUUACAAGGCAAAGAAUUGGAUGUGACAAACAUUUGUAUGCAUUUAAAGACUUGAAAAACUUGUACUGUCUUCUUCAGAUUUCAGGAGAAUUUGUUUAAGACAGUAAAUUCUGGGUAUGAAAUGAAGAAUUUGUGCUGAGUGACAUUAAAUGAAUUAUGAAAAUAUGUUUUCUACCUUGAAUUUAUAAAAACAACAUAAAAGAUAGACAAAUUUG
Mytilus californianus (California mussel) is the source of this 677-nucleotide long non-coding RNA. RefSeq lists it as uncharacterized. Lineage: Eukaryota; Metazoa; Mollusca; Bivalvia; Mytilida; Mytilidae. The transcript is spliced from 3 exons. The record is from RefSeq and is a predicted model, not a curated record.